GAAAUGCGAUAAGUAAUGUGAAUUGCAGAAUUCAGUGAAUCAUCGAAUCUUUGAACGCACAUUGCGCCCGCCAGUAUUCUGGCGGGCAUGCCUGUUCGAGUGUCAUUUCAACCAUCAAGCCCCCGGGCUUGUGUUGGGGACCUGCGGCUGCCGCAGGCCCCGAAAACCAGUGGCGGGCUCGCUGUCACACCGGGCGUAGCAGAUUUUUCGUCUCGCCCAGGGCGUGCUGCGGGUUCCGGCCGUUAAAAAGCCUCUCUUUUAACCCAAGGUUGACCUCGGAUCAGGUAGGAAGACCCGCUGAACUUAAGC
RNAcentral lists this unclassified non-coding RNA (309 nucleotides) under plant metagenome. RNAcentral's name for it is "partial contains 5.8S ribosomal RNA, internal transcribed spacer 2, and large subunit ribosomal RNA". The stretch from base 1 to 105 matches the Rfam family "5.8S ribosomal RNA", at positions 50 to 154 of the family's 154-position model. The record is from RNAcentral.